GGUUCUCUCUGCACCAAGUCGGAAGAGAGAGAGAGAGAGAGAGAGUGGCUCUGCAGAAUCACCUCUCCACCGCGAUCUCUUCGUCUUCCUCCGCAUUCCUAUCUCCCUCCAACUUGGGCUCUUCCAGCCUGAGCUCAGCUUCGAUGAUCUGGAAAAAGGUGGAGGAUCGACACACGAUGAAGAGUUAAUCAUUGCCGCUGCACGUGAGCUCAUAGAGAAGAUGACAUGAUCCGAGACCUUGGAACAGUCAGUCAUGCCAACCUUGGAACAGCUUCAAUGAUCUGAAAGGGGCAAACAAAGGCGUCAGGGGCAACAAGAUCCUCACUCCAACCAGGCGUGCAUAGCCACUUCAACAGGCUAAACUGUUCCAUGGUCAUUUGCAAGAAGCUAGAUUGAUCUCCAUUGCCUUGCUUCAUGACAUCAGGUUAAACAUGUAAGAAAAAGAGCUGCCGCCUUUGAUAUGGUAUCUUCCACAAUGGUGUGGCCGUCGUGUUUUUUCGAUAGGUGAGUUAUGAGCGUGUCAUUCCGACCUCGAAAGGAUCGGUGUGCCACACCCCAUUACUGACUAUUGUGGAGGCACCGUUCACCUUCAUUACAAGAACGUUGCCCAUUCUCUCAUGAGCAACAUUGCUGACCUUCA
Eucalyptus grandis is the source of this 640-nucleotide long non-coding RNA. RefSeq lists it as uncharacterized. NCBI's taxonomy places the organism in Eukaryota, Viridiplantae, Streptophyta, Magnoliopsida, Myrtales, Myrtaceae. The transcript has 3 exons. The record is from RefSeq and is a predicted model, not a curated record.